GGAAGUAGCUCAGUGGUAGAGUUGCUUGCCUAGCAAGCAUAAGGCCCUGGGUUUGGUCCCCAGUAAUUCA
RNAcentral lists this transfer RNA (70 nucleotides) under Marmota monax (woodchuck). RNAcentral's name for it is "tRNA.Ala". Lineage: Eukaryota; Metazoa; Chordata; Mammalia; Rodentia; Sciuridae. The record is from RNAcentral.